Molecule: long non-coding RNA, 2875 nt
Organism: Ictalurus punctatus (channel catfish)
Lineage: Eukaryota; Metazoa; Chordata; Actinopteri; Siluriformes; Ictaluridae
Source: Ensembl
AACAUCAUGGAGGAACCUGUCCAUAGUUAGGACUCACUCAGCUCUUUGUGGAUAAUGAGGGGUUAAAGUUUUCCAGAGGACAUACCUCGCCUGCUUUGAGAAGAGGAAGAGGAAGUUAUACUGAGAAUCAUUGACUAAACCUGGACUAAAGUACACAGUUUAGGCCACAUGAUAGAAAAGAGUAUGCAAAGCAAUUCCACAUUUCUGACUGCCAGCUUUGAAGAAGAGAAAAACAUUGACAUGGAUUUCUGAAAUAUUUCUCAUAUAAAUGAAUAACGCAUUAAUAGAAAGUUUAAAGGCUGAUCUGUUUUGACCUGCUUUCCAUUUUGCUGUUUUAUUUCUUUACUUAAUCCAGAAAACUGGCACUUCAUUUCAAGUAACAAUUAUAGAUGUAUCAAGUAAAAACAUUUAUUAUCCACGUGUAAUUUUGCAAUUCAAAUCAUUACAGUUUCUCUUACGCAAAGACUGGAAGAGUUUCUGUCAUAAAAACACUCAUAAAAGGCAACUACAUGCAAAUAAUGCUCAGCAAUUCAAUAAUCAAUCAUUAACUUUCUCUAUAUUUAUUUCUACUUAUUAAGUUGCGUCUUUUAAAUUAAUAUAUAGCAGACUGGAAGUGGAAAGUUUCAUUUUUUCCCUCCUAAAUAACUAGCUAGCCAAUCUUGAGGUAUGUGCACACAGGACUAAAUAAUCAAGGUUUAGACAAAUAUUACACAAUAAAUUAAAACGAUGUCAACAAAAAUAAAAUGAAUAUGUAUUUUAGUAAAACAUUUGUACAUUAAAAGUUGAUUAAACUUCUUGCAUGAAACCAUUCUUAUGGAAACCUGCUGGAAGGAAAUGUCCACGAGCAACAAUAGAAGCUGUGAUCCUUCUACACAAGAAAACCUGAGGGUGACAUCAGUGACUCCACUCCUUUCAGUGUGAAUGCAGGCCAGGAUUUUUUCUCCCUGAAGUCUGUUGACCUGCUGUCUCAUCUGCUUACUCUGCUCACUUACCCAGAGACGCUUAUUGAGAAGCAAUGGUGGAGCUCUGGAUAUCUCCUGAUGGAUUCACAUGCUGUGUGCUGGACUCUGCUUCUGCUGACAUGUUACAAAAAUGUUCUACACUGGGUCACAGGGAGCCUGGAGCCUACCCAGGGGACUUGGGGCAUGAGUGUCAUAUCACAUCAAUUCCGUGACUACAUUUCCCAUCCUGCACUGCGGCCUACGAACAUGGCCGCCAUGGACUACACUUCCCACACACAUGUUCACCUUCUCCGGAAUUCUAAUCACACACACCUGUUGCCAGUCUCACACUUACUCGCUCCACACUAUAUAAGAGACUUUUUGAACACCAUGACUUUGUGAAGUAUUGAGUGUUCUCACCUCACCAAGCAUUUGUACACGUUUCCUUGUUUUGUUUUAUGUUCAUUGAUCUUGCUUCUUGUCCCUCUGUCACAUAUUAAACGUUAUGAAGGUGAGGAUGGAUGCAAGUGCAGAUAAGAGCUUUUAAUAAAGAGAGGCACACAGACAAAUCCAAAUCAUGAGACUAGCAUAUUCAAGAAACAGGCAAUAGACCAGACGAUCUGUAAACAGGCAUGAACUAUGCAAGGUAAGAAUCGUCAAUGAGGAACAAGAAGCAAGAUCAAGACCUGAUGUGCACCAAAUGUUACCAUUUUUAAAUACAAAUUUUAUAAAAAUAUUUAUUACUGUUUGCUGUUAAGUCUUCUAUACCUCUAUACUGUAAUGUACAAAAUCCCACUAUACCAGUAUUGUGACCCAGGAAAGGAUGGAUUAGUUUUUGAGUCUGGUUUUGUCAAGGUUUCUUCCUGAGGUAAUCACAGGGAGUUAUUACUUGCCAUUGUCCCUUCUGGCUUGCUCUUUAGGAAUCUAAAUCUAUAUCCAUAUAUAAGCUGAUUUGUGACAAAGGCUGUUGUUAAAAAACACUAUACAAAAAAAAAAUUAAAAUGAAUUGUAACUUGUUGCUGACUGCCCUGCUACUUCUUUAAGCAAGCUUCAGCUUCUUCAGAAUACAGCAAUGAACAACUUUACUAGGAGAAGAAAGCCAGAACACAUUUCCCUGGUUUUAGCUACACUGGCUGCUUAUUAAGUUUUGCAUUGACUAGAAAGUGGUGUUUUUAGCAAAGAUUUAGCUUCAGUAUACUUCAUAAGUAGUGCUUGAUAAAUCAUUUUUAUAUAAUUUUGAACUAAAAAUGACAUGAUUAUUAGGGGGCCAAGCACUGAAGGUGUUAUCUAAGGAACACCAGAUUUGGGCCAAGUUCUGCCAACACUCUAGCACCACCAUUGUUUAUUGCCAUAAACUUCUAACAAUAUGUCCAAAAUUAAAAGCCAGGCAUCCUUGGAUUUGGAUACAAGAAAUACAGGUAAGCAUUGGAAUAGGUAUAGAAAUUUUGGUAAUACGUUCAUUUUAAUUGCUUCAAUCCUCAAACUAAAACUAAAAAAGGGAAUUAAGUUCCAUCUGGUUAAAUCUUCUUUGAUUUAAUUAGUGGUCCGAAAUUCUUUCUAUGUAUUUUUUCUGUCUUUUGUCAAAUGGACACCUAAGUAUGUAAAUGAUUCUGUAUGCCAUUUUAACGAGUAUGUAUUUUUAAUAUUUUCAGGGGGCUAUAAUUAUAUGGAAUUAUUUCUGUUUUUUCAAUAUUUAAUUGAUAUCCAGAGAGCGGAACAGAACUCUGAAAUUAAGUGUCAGUCCUGAUUCAGGAUUGUACAGCUGAGUGGUGCAGCUCUCCUACACUGCACCCAGAUGAUGCCCCCUGACUAGAUAACAUGCUGUCUUGAUUGUUUUAUAUUCUUUGUCACACUGUUCUUCUGUUUCUGUUUGCCUAUUUUACAGAUAUGACUUGAUAUCUGUUCAGUGUUACUUCAAAUAAAUGUGUUUAAAU